This 275-nucleotide ribosomal RNA is filed under the name uncultured bacterium. RNAcentral's name for it is "partial 16S ribosomal RNA". It matches the Rfam family "Bacterial small subunit ribosomal RNA", at positions 78 to 354 of the family's 1533-position model. The record is from RNAcentral.
AAACUAGAUACAAGCGAGCGGCGGACGGGUGAGUAACGCGUGGGGAACCUGCCCCGUACCGGGGGAUAACACCUGGAAACAGGUGCUAAUACCGCAUAACAGAAGGGGACGCAUGUUUCUUUCUUGAAAACUCCGGUGGUACGGGAUGGACCCGCGUCUGAUUAGCUGGUUGGCGGGGUAACGGCCCACCAAGGCGACGAUCAGUAGCCGGCCUGAGAGGGCGGACGGCCACAUUGGGACUGAGACACGGACCAGACUCCUACGGGAGGCAGCAG